UACGGGGGGGGCAAGCGUUGUUCGGAAUUACUGGGCGUAAAGGGCUCGUAGGCGGCCAACUAAGUCGGAUGUGAAAUCCCCAGGCUUAACCUGGGAACUGCAUCCGAUACUGGAUGGCUUGAAUUCGGGAGAGGGAUGCAGAAUUCCAGGUGUAGCGGUGAAAUGCUUAGAUAUCGUCAAGAACACCGAUAGCGAAGGCAGCUUACUAGGCUGUAACUGACGCUGAGGCACGAAAGUGUGGGGAUCAAACAGG
This 253-nucleotide ribosomal RNA is filed under the name uncultured bacterium. RNAcentral's name for it is "partial 16S ribosomal RNA". It matches the Rfam family "Bacterial small subunit ribosomal RNA", at positions 524 to 776 of the family's 1533-position model. The record is from RNAcentral.